Molecule: long non-coding RNA, 650 nt
Organism: Mercurialis annua (annual mercury)
Lineage: Eukaryota; Viridiplantae; Streptophyta; Magnoliopsida; Malpighiales; Euphorbiaceae
Exons: 2
Source: RefSeq, a predicted model, not a curated record
AUGGACUUUUGUACAAUAACUUAUUAAAGAAGGGGUUAGAUCAUUCAUUCUCCCAUUCUCCACCAAAAGCUCAAACCUCUCAUUUUUGUAUCAAAGCCUUCAACGGAGCCGAACCCCUCUUCUCCACCAUGACUCCAUGAAUUCAACUCCAAACUUUACGAUUCUUGAAGUAAAUCAAUCCUAAGGCUAAGGUAAUCAUGAUAAGGUGAUUAAGAGGUUACAUGGAGGAUUUUUGAUGGUGAAUUGAAUGGCUUGGAACCUUCAGCUCGGAGAACCUUUCAAGGUAAGGGAUUUUCUGAAAUUGGCUAAGUGUUUAAUUGAUGGGAUUGAAUGAGUUUGUGGCUUAGGGUUCGACACUUGUAUGAAGAUUAGGUGUUUGAUGAAUUGACUAUAUGAAAUUGUGGUGUAUUGUUUGAAUUCUUUGUUGAGUUUUGACAUAGGAAUGAGCUAAGGGUUUCAGCUCCUAAACUAGUUGAUGAUAUGAGGUUUAAUUGAUAGGUUAUAAGUGUUAAUUGGAGUCAUAUAGUUGAAUAUAGACUGAAAAUUGAAGCAAUAUUGAUUGAGUUAGAUUUGAUGCAAAGAUGAAUGUAUAGUUCGUCCAUGUUAAGGGUUUUGUAAUUGAAUGGAGUUUGGUGAUGUCAAAUAUGGUA